GAUGAAGAACGUAGCGAAAUGCGAUACUUGGUGUGAAUUGCAGAAUCCCGUGAACCAUCGAGUCUUUGAACGCAAGUUGCGCCCGAAGCCAUUAGGCCGAGGGCACGCCUGCCUGGGCGUCACACGUCGUUGCCCCCCCAUCUACUCCUUCGGGAUUGCGGGGGGCGGAUGAUGGCCUCUCGUGCGCCUCGUCGCGCGGUUGGCCUAAAUGCCAAGUCCUCGGCGACGCACGCCACGACAAUCGGUGUUUGCGAAACCUCGGUUGCCUGUCGUGUGCGGUCGUCGCGCAUCGAGGGCUCGAAAAAAUUGCCGGGCUUCGGCUCGACUUUCAACGCGACCCCAGGUCAGGCGGGGUUACCCGCUGAAUUUAAGCAUAUCAAUAAGCGGAGGA
RNAcentral lists this unclassified non-coding RNA (391 nucleotides) under soil metagenome. RNAcentral describes it as "partial contains 5.8S ribosomal RNA, internal transcribed spacer 2, and large subunit ribosomal RNA". The stretch from base 1 to 122 matches the Rfam family "5.8S ribosomal RNA", at positions 35 to 154 of the family's 154-position model. The record is from RNAcentral.